UGCAAGUCGUACGCACUGGCCCAACUGAUUGAUGGUGCUUGCACCUGAUUGACGAUGGAUCACCAGUGAGUGGCGGACGGGUGAGUAACACGUAGGUAACCUGCCCCGGAGCGGGGGAUAACAUUUGGAAACAGAUGCUAAUACCGCAUAACAACAAAAGCCACAUGGCUUUUGUUUGAAAGAUGGCUUUGGCUAUCACUCUGGGAUGGACCUGCGGUGCAUUAGCUAGUUGGUAAGGUAACGGCUUACCAAGGCGAUGAUGCAUAGCCGAGUUGAGAGACUGAUCGGCCACAAUGGAACUGAGACACGGUCCAUACUCCUACGGGAGGCAGCAGUAGGGAAUCUUCCACAAUGGGCGCAAGCCUGAUGGAGCAACACCGCGUGAGUGAAGAAGGGUUUCGGCUCGUAAAGCUCUGUUGUUGGAGAAGAACGUGCGUGAGAGUAACUGUUCACGCAGUGACGGUAUCCAACCAGAAAGUCACGGCUAACUACGUGCCAGCAGCCGCGGUAAUACGUAGGUGGCAAGCGUUAUCCGGAUUUAUUGGGCGUAAAGCGAGCGCAGGCGGUUGCUUAGGUCUGAUGUGAAAGCCUUCGGCUUAACCGAAGAAGUGCAUCGGAAACCGGGCGACUUGAGUGCAGAAGAGGACAGUGGAACUCCAUGUGUAGCGGUGGAAUGCGUAGAUAUAUGGAAGAACACCAGUGGCGAAGGCGGCUGUCUGGUCUGCAACUGACGCUGAGGCUCGAAAGCAUGGGUAGCGAACAGGAUUAGAUACCCUGGUAGUCCAUGCCGUAAACGAUGAGUGCUAGGUGUUGGAGGGUUUCCGCCCUUCAGUGCCGGAGCUAACGCAUUAAGCACUCCGCCUGGGGAGUACGACCGCAAGGUUGAAACUCAAAGGAAUUGACGGGGGCCCGCACAAGCGGUGGAGCAUGUGGUUUAAUUCGAAGCUACGCGAAGAACCUUACCAGGUCUUGACAUCUUGCGCUAACCUUAGAGAUAAGGCGUUCCCUUCGGGGACGCAAUGACAGGUGGUGCAUGGUCGUCGUCAGCUCGUGUCGUGAGAUGUUGGGUUAAGUCCCGCAACGAGCGCAACCCUUGUUACUAGUUGCCAGCAUUAAGUUGGGCACUCUAGUGAGACUGCCGGUGACAAACCGGAGGAAGGUGGGGACGACGUCAGAUCAUCAUGCCCCUUAUGACCUGGGCUACACACGUGCUACAAUGGACGGUACAACGAGUCGCAAGCUCGCGAGAGUAAGCUAAUCUCUUAAAGCCGUUCUCAGUUCGGACUGUAGGCUGCAACUCGCCUACACGAAGUCGGAAUCGCUAGUAAUCGCGGAUCAGCAUGCCGCGGUGAAUACGUUCCCGGGCCUUGUACACACCGCCCGUCACACCAUGGGAGUUUGUAACGCCCAAAGUCGGUG
This 1419-nucleotide ribosomal RNA is filed under the name Limosilactobacillus reuteri. RNAcentral's name for it is "bacterial SSU rRNA". It matches the Rfam family "Bacterial small subunit ribosomal RNA", at positions 56 to 1432 of the family's 1533-position model. Lineage: Bacteria; Bacillati; Bacillota; Bacilli; Lactobacillales; Lactobacillaceae. The record is from RNAcentral.